This 506-nucleotide ribosomal RNA is filed under the name uncultured bacterium. RNAcentral describes it as "bacterial SSU rRNA". It matches the Rfam family "Bacterial small subunit ribosomal RNA", at positions 30 to 533 of the family's 1533-position model. The record is from RNAcentral.
AUUGAACGCUGGCGGUAUGCUUAACACAUGCAAGUCGAACGAGUAGUUACUUCGGUAACGAGAGUGGCGGACGGGUGAGUAACGCGUAGGAAUCUGCCUGUUAGUGGGGGACAACGUGGGGAAACUCACGCUAAUACCGCAUACGCCCUACGGGGGAAAGGAGGGGAUCUUCGGACCUUUCGCUAACAGAUGAGCCUGCGUAGGAUUAGCUAGUUGGUAGGGUAAAGGCCUACCAAGGCCACGAUCGGUAGCUGGUCUGAGAGGAUGAUCAGCCACACUGGGACUGAGACACGGCCCAGACUCCUACGGGAGGCAGCAGUGGGGAAUAUUGGACAAUGGGCGCAAGCCUGAUCCAGCAAUGCCGCGUGUGUGAAGAAGGCCUGCGGGUUGUAAAGCACUUUCAGUGGGGAAGAACAGAUUCGGGUCAAUACCCCGGAGCCCUGACGUUACCCACAGAAGAAGCACCGGCUAACUCCGUGCCAGCAGACGCGGUAAAGUAGUCGUGU